UACGUAGGGUGCGAGCGUUAAUCGGAAUUACUGGGCGUAAAGCGUGCGCAGGCGGUUUGUUAAGUCUGAUGUGAAAUCCCCGGGCUCAACCUGGGAACUGCCUUUGUGACUGCAUAGCUAGAGUACGGUAGAGGGGGAUGGAAUUCCGCGUGUAGCAGUGAAAUGCGUAGAUAUGCGGAGGAACACCGAUGGCGAAGGCAAUCCCCUGGACCUGUACUGACGCUCAUGCACGAAAGCGUGGGGAGCAAACAGG
This 253-nucleotide ribosomal RNA is filed under the name uncultured bacterium. RNAcentral's name for it is "partial 16S ribosomal RNA". It matches the Rfam family "Bacterial small subunit ribosomal RNA", at positions 524 to 776 of the family's 1533-position model. The record is from RNAcentral.